RNAcentral lists this small RNA (143 nucleotides) under Flavobacterium frigoris. Its description in RNAcentral is "Flavo-1 RNA". It matches the Rfam family "Flavo-1 RNA". Lineage: Bacteria; Pseudomonadati; Bacteroidota; Flavobacteriia; Flavobacteriales; Flavobacteriaceae. The record is from RNAcentral.
UUUUAGCCUUGAUAGCAGUGAAAAGCCUUUAUGGACUGAAACUACUUUUUUCUUGUUGUGACAGAGCGACCAAAGGAAGCUCCUGCCACGACUUAGAAAAAGGGUUGAAGCCAGAAAGCUUAAAACAGAUAGCGAGAAAAGCU